GCCUGGAUAGCUCAGUUGGUAGAGCGAUAGAUUGAAGAUCUAUGCGUCAGCGGUUCGAUUCCGUUUCUAGGCA
Molecule: transfer RNA, 73 nt
Filed under: Limosilactobacillus reuteri
Lineage: Bacteria; Bacillati; Bacillota; Bacilli; Lactobacillales; Lactobacillaceae
Description: tRNA-Phe
Rfam family: tRNA
About the family: Transfer RNA (tRNA) molecules are approximately 80 nucleotides in length. Their secondary structure includes four short double-helical elements and three loops (D, anti-codon, and T loops). Further hydrogen bonds mediate the characteristic L-shaped molecular structure. tRNAs have two regions of fundamental functional importance: the anti-codon, which is responsible for specific mRNA codon recognition, and the 3' end, to which the tRNAs corresponding amino acid is attached (by aminoacyl-tRNA synthetases). tRNAs cope with the degeneracy of the genetic code in two manners: having more than one tRNA (with a specific anti-codon) for a particular amino acid; and 'wobble' base-pairing, i.e. permitting non-standard base-pairing at the 3rd anti-codon position.
Source: RNAcentral